Molecule: ribosomal RNA, 207 nt
Filed under: uncultured Pseudomonas sp.
Lineage: Bacteria; Pseudomonadati; Pseudomonadota; Gammaproteobacteria; Pseudomonadales; Pseudomonadaceae
Description: partial 16S ribosomal RNA
Rfam family: Bacterial small subunit ribosomal RNA
Source: RNAcentral
CGCGUAGGUGGUUCAGUAAGAUGGGAGUGAAAUCCCCGGGCUCAACCUGGGAACUGCUUUCAUAACUGCUGGGCUAGAGUACGGUAGAGGGUAGUGGAAUUUCCUGUGUAGCGGUGAAAUGCGUAGAUAUAGGAAGGAACACCAGUGGCGAAGGCGACUACCUGGACUGAUACUGACACUGAGGUGCGAAAGCGUGGGGAGCAAACA